UAUGCAGAGCAUAUGAGAAAGCACUGAAACUGACUGAAGUGUGUUCAGUCCAGCACUGAGCUUUGUGUC
Small nucleolar RNA from Strix occidentalis caurina (northern spotted owl), 69 nucleotides. NCBI's taxonomy places the organism in Eukaryota, Metazoa, Chordata, Aves, Strigiformes, Strigidae. The record is from Ensembl.